CCCAGACUCCUACGGGAGGCAGCAGUGGGGGAUAUUGCACAAUGGGGGGAACCCUGAUGCAGCGACGCCGCGUGGGUGAAGGAGCGUUUCGGCGCGUAAAGCCCUAUCGGCAGGGAAGAAGGAGGACGGUACCUGACUAAGAAGCCCCGGCUAACUACGUGCCAGCAGCCGCGGUAAUACGUAGGGGGCAAGCGUUAUCCGGAUUUACUGGGUGUAAAGGGGGCGCAGACGGCAGCGCAAGCCAGGAGUGAAAGCCCGGGGCCCAACCCCGGGACUGCUCUUGGAACUGCGCGGCUGGAGUGCAGGAGGGGCAGGCGGAAUUCCUGGUGUAGCGGUGAAAUGCGUAGAUAUCAGGAGGAACACCGGUGGCGAAGGCGGCCUGCUGGACUGCGACUGACGUUGAGGCCCGAAAGCGUGGGGAGCAAACAGGAUUAGAUACCCGAGUAAA
This 448-nucleotide ribosomal RNA is filed under the name uncultured bacterium. RNAcentral's name for it is "partial 16S ribosomal RNA". It matches the Rfam family "Bacterial small subunit ribosomal RNA", at positions 330 to 794 of the family's 1533-position model. The record is from RNAcentral.